RNAcentral lists this ribosomal RNA (253 nucleotides) under uncultured bacterium. Its description in RNAcentral is "partial 16S ribosomal RNA". It matches the Rfam family "Bacterial small subunit ribosomal RNA", at positions 524 to 776 of the family's 1533-position model. The record is from RNAcentral.
CACGUAGGGCGCAAGCGUUGUCCGGAAUUAUUGGGCGUAAAGAGCUCGUAGGCGGUCUGUUGCGUCCGCUGUGAAAACUCGGGGCUUAACCCCGAGCCUGCAGUGGAUACGGGCAGACUAGAGGUAGGUAGGGGAGAAUGGAAUUCCCGGUGUAGCGGUGAAAUGCGCAGAUAUCGGGAGGAACACCGGUGGCGAAGGCGGCUUCCUGGCCUGUAACUGACGCUGAGACGCGAAAGCGUGGGGAGCGAACCGG